Long non-coding RNA from Hemibagrus wyckioides, 1200 nucleotides. RefSeq lists it as uncharacterized. The transcript is spliced from 4 exons. Lineage: Eukaryota; Metazoa; Chordata; Actinopteri; Siluriformes; Bagridae. The record is from RefSeq and is a predicted model, not a curated record.
CCAAAGACUGCAGACAGGUCAAGGAAAGGAAACCAAUUUUCCUCAAUCCUAAGCUGCAUAUAAACAAUCCAGAGCAGAGUUCUACCUUGGACCAGACCAAACAGAGCAGUGUUUCCCAAUCCAGCCUUUCUCAAAGUAUUCCCGAACACGGGUGGCUCAAUCUCCAUGUAUCAGCUGAUCAGUGUCCUGAGCCAUGUUGGAACCUCAACUGAAUACGGACAUUUUGUGAGUGAUUGUUCCAGUCACAGACCUCACCAAUGGAUUACAUACAAUGACUUGGACGUCACUCAGACCACUGAGGAGGACGUCUUAAAGAAGAGGUCGUCUGACGCCUAUGUGCUCCUCUACGAGAGAGUGAGCACUGGCUGAAGUCAGAAGGCUGCAAGUUGAUGUGGCUAGGUUUGGAAGGAUAUUGGGGCAAGUGAGAGAUUGUGGCAACAUGCAGGAGUGUUGCAGAUCCUUUCCUUUAAAGGAAGUGAUCCCAAACUCUAGUCCUCCUUCAUGAAGUGCUCUAGAGUGGUGAAUCUGUGCUGAAGGUAUGUAGCCAGCAUCUGAAAUACAGGUGAAAUGGCAUCACCUUCUCACAAAAGGUGAAAGAACGGCACAUCUUGGUGAUAAGUUCGCCACGCAUGCUCUGUGGGCCGAAUGAUUCUGGAGACACCUUGUGCCUGGGUUUCUGGCUGAGGUUGAUCCAUGGACAUUGUAGAAUUGUAACUGAAAUAGAAAUUUCUGUUGUAACUCCCUGAUAUUCAAAAUGGACAUAUUAUAUAUAAAAAACCCUGAGUACAAUCUAUAUAUAGUACAUGACCGAGAAAAAGUAAUUUAUAAUGUCACGAUCCGGUGUCACCCAGAAGAGCAUGGGUUCCCUUUUGAGCCUGGUUCCUCUCAAGGUUUCUUCCUCUCGUCACCUGAGGGAGUUUUUCCUUGCCAAUGUCGCCUCGGGCUUGCUCAUUAGGGAUUUAAAUCUACAUCCGGAUUUAUGUGACUUUGCUAUGGCAUGUAUGCACAUGCACAGUACUCUACUCAAUCCUUAAAGAAGAUUUCAUCUCUCAAAUAUCUACUGGUCCAGCAGCUUUAAGUAAAUUGUGUUUUCGUAAAGUUUUGUGUCUGCAACUAUAAAAUUAAUUUAAUUAUGAAAAAUGUUUUAAUAAGUUGUGUUUUCAUAAAGCUUUGUGUCUACAGCUUUCAAUUAAUGACAUU